Molecule: non-coding RNA, 299 nt
Organism: Sphaerotilus natans subsp. natans DSM 6575
Lineage: Bacteria; Pseudomonadati; Pseudomonadota; Betaproteobacteria; Burkholderiales; Sphaerotilaceae
Source: Rfam
CCUCCUCGAUCUGCUGCGGGCAGAUCCAGUGGAUGUGCGUGUCGAUGCCGCCGGCGGUGACGAUCAGGCCCUCGCCGGCGAUGACCUCGGUGCCGGGGCCGAUGACGAUGUCGAUGCCCGGCUGCACGUCCGGGUUGCCGGCCUUGCCGAUGGCGGCGAUGCGCGAGCCCCGCAGGCCGAUGUCGGCCUUGACGAUGCCCCAGUGGUCGAGGAUCAGCGCGUUGGUGAUGACGCAGUCCACCGCGUCGCCGGGGCCGGGGCCGUUGGGGCGCUGGCUCUGGCCCAUGCCGUCGCGGAUG